GCCCGAGUUGUAAUUUGAAGAUAGUUUUCUGGUGCUGGCCCUUGUCUAUGUUCCUUGGAACAGGACGUCACAGAGGGUGAGAAUCCCGUCUGGCGGGGUGUCCAGUGCUUUGUAGAUUUCUAUCGACGAGUCGAGUUGUUUGGGAAUGCAGCUCUAAGUGGGUGGUAAAUUCCAUCUAAAGCUAAAUAUUGGCGAGAGACCGAUAGCGAACAAGUACAGUGAUGGAAAGAUGAAAAGAACUUUGAAAAGAGAGUGAAAAAGUACGUGAAAUUGUUGAAAGGGAAGGGUAUUAGAUCAGACUUGGUGUUUUGUGAUUAUCUUCCCUUCUUGGGUUGUGCACUCGCAUUUCACUGGGCCAGCAUCGGUUCGGGUGGCAAGAUAAUGACAUUGGAACGUGGCACUACCUUCGGGUGGUGUGUUAUAGCCCUUGUUGAUGUUGCCUAUCUGGACCGAGGACUGCGGCUUUUGCCUAGGAUGCUGGCGUAAUGAUCUAACACCGCCCGUCUUGAAACACGGACCA
Molecule: ribosomal RNA, 520 nt
Filed under: Williopsis subsufficiens
Lineage: Eukaryota; Fungi; Ascomycota; Saccharomycetes; Phaffomycetales; Wickerhamomycetaceae
Description: eukaryotic LSU rRNA
Rfam family: Eukaryotic large subunit ribosomal RNA
Source: RNAcentral